UGUGCCUUCACGCCCCAAAGCGGUAAACGUAACAGAUCACGGAGCCAAGCUCUUUUGGGAAUGGCCGCAGGAUCCGAGGUACCACAUCACACGUUUCACCAUAACAGUCGAUGGCCAGCAGACCGUGCAAACUACGGAGCCUCAGCUGACUCUCGAAAACCUUGCCGCAUGGAAGCCCUACAAAAUAGGUGUCGCCUCUUGCGUAAACGAGACCUAUUGUGGUCAGGAAGGCACGCUGCUGGUGCAUACAGACAUCGGUGCACCCUCCGAACCAUUGAACCUCACCGUCGAUUCGUGGGGCACUCACUGGAUCCUUGCACGGUGGGAGGAGCCGAAUGUUCUGAACGGACCACUUAGCGGCUACAAUGUGAGCUUCAGAGACGACGCUACGCACUUCGAAGCAACGACUACUCAGUUGUCGUACAACUACACGGGUGCCGUUCCAGGGACUGUGUACGAAGGUGACCGUGUACGCAUUCAAUGAGGCGAAAAGGAGUGACAAAGCAUGGACCAUCCGCUUCACUGUUUACUUCGCGGAGAGAUGACCCUCUGAGCAUGGCGUCUCUAACAACAACGAGAAUUCUUUUGGCUUCGCUUGGAGCUGUCACGUUAGCCCUCGUAGUGGUGUGUGUUGUGCUUCACAGGAAGUGCCCCGUAACAAGUACAUUUUAUAGCACAGUCAUUGAACAUGAGCGAGAACAUCCCAGAGAAGGACGUAGAAAUAAACUGGCGCAUACUUGAGAGCCUUUCACAUGGGAGCCGAAUGUUGAGAAGAAUGUUCGGAUUGAAAGGAAGCGGUGGAAUUUGAGUACGGACCGACUGUGAAUCGUGUGAGAUUAAAUCGAUGAUUACUUGCUGCAAUAAACAAGCAUCAACGUUCCUUCA
This is a long non-coding RNA of Rhipicephalus microplus (southern cattle tick), 885 nucleotides long. The record is from RefSeq and is a predicted model, not a curated record. Lineage: Eukaryota; Metazoa; Arthropoda; Arachnida; Ixodida; Ixodidae.